RNAcentral lists this long non-coding RNA (2309 nucleotides) under Nicotiana tabacum (common tobacco). RNAcentral describes it as "long non-coding RNA (NTAB_LNC007230)". The record is from RNAcentral. Lineage: Eukaryota; Viridiplantae; Streptophyta; Magnoliopsida; Solanales; Solanaceae.
AAGCCAGACCCCCCUUCCUUUAGGUCGUCUCCCACACCAGACCCAAACCCCACGAAACCCUAGCGCCGCCCCCCUUUCCCUUCACCGUGAACCCGGCGGCAACGACGCCGGUGACCACCAUCUUAACACCCCUAGUACACCUCAACCCCCUAAACAAGGAUCUGCUACCCCCUUGCCUCGAAUUAUUCCCCCUUGCCUCGAAUCUUCAUUUGAAGGUUCGAACAAAACCCCGAUCUACACCAACCUACCCCAGAUUCACACCAAGUACUCCCCUGACUUCCCUCGUGACCAAACCAGGCUUGGUUUGGUCCGAAUCUAACCAGGAAAACCUGAACCCCUAAUCUGAGCCCCAUGAACCCUAGAAAUCUAGAAAUCAGGAUUUUGUCCUAAUUAGCAGAGGUUUGAGGGUCUAAUAGACCUUAGUCAAAGUGUUCUCUGUUGAGAACACUUGAUUAAGGUCCGUUCGACCUCAAAAGGUCGAGUAUGAGUUUGGGUCUGUUUCACCUAGUACUUGAGGUAUUCUUUUGUUUUUUUCCGUUUGAUCCAUUGUUGUUUGUUUGUUUGUUGUUCGUUCGUUGUUUAGAAUGAUUUUAUUUCCAAUGUCUUCACUUUGUUCUUCUUUUAUCUGAAUCGGACCUUUUAUUUGAUCGAAUUAUUCCUGUUCGUUUGUUCAAGUAUAUAACAAGCUGUGUAGUCGAUUCGAUAAGUUUCGUCGAUUAAUUAAGUUUCCUUUUAGCCCAUGUUUUGUCAAUACCAUUGAAAUCACAAGUCUGCCUGUUUGUUUCUGAUUGUUUGUUGCCAGUCAUAUGUUGUACACUACGUAGUCGAUUAAUUAAGUUUCGUCGAUUAAUUGUUUGUAGUUUAUUUGUUCCCUUCAAACUGUUUGGUGCCAGUUUUGUUGACAUUCCCUGAUUCUGAGCUUCUUGUUAGCUUGAUUCUGCUGAAUAUAUAUGCACAUGAAUUUAUACUAGUUUCAAACUGAACCUAAGCUGAGUUUUGGAUUGUUGACCCUUUUUAUGCACAUAAGAUAGAGAUUACUAGCCUUGUUGAUUCACUUUAGAUUCAGGAAAUCAGAAAGCAUGGCAAUUUGUAGUUCUUUAAUGAAUUAGGGUUAAUUGGACAGCAUGUGCUGUCAGGAUUAUUCCUGCUGCCCAUGUUUGCUUAGUUUAAUAAAAUGAUAAACCAUUUUAAUAAUGAAAAAGAGGCUGUCAUGGGAAUCUCAUGGGAAGAGUUUUUAUUUUAAUCCUUGAGUGGAAAAGCAGGAGAAGAACAUGGGAGGGAGUUCAGUGGAUUUUAACAGGCUGUUUGAAUGGGCUGAUACUAGGAUAAAUAGAGGAGGAUUCCAUUAGUUAAAGGGGGGACAGACAGGAGAGAGUUCAAAGGGAGAGAGUUCUGAAAAUCAAAGAGAGUUCUGAAAAAAUCAGAAAGAAGAAAAACAGAAAUAGACAUAGAGAGAUACACAGAAUACAUAGGGAUACAGAGAUACACAAGCUAAAAAGACUGAAAAACAGAAGAGAAGAAAGAGUGAGCGAGGGUUGAGUUGGAAGAAGUAGAUAGAGUUCACAUAGCAUCGAAGAGAGGCUUUGAAAAUAGUUGAUAGCGAAAGCAACAAAACACUACUUCAGUGAGUUCUGGUUUAGUGUCAAGUCCCAGUAGCUGACAUUGGUCUGCUCAACUGAUUUCAAUUUGUUGGAACCUAUUGGCUAUCUAUUGGUCCAGUUUUGGUCUAAAUUCAAGUUCAGUUGAUUCUGUUUGGUUUGUUUAGUUGGUGUCGGGUUUCACAAAUCACUUCGAGCCUCCUUUAAAUAUAUUUCUGGGGUAUUUGGUGCUGUUGGAACUGCUGCCUUUGCUGUUGCCUGUGUACUGCUGCUGCUUUGCUGACUUCUUUUCUCUUCAAUUGUAAACGUUUCCAGGUACACACUUCUGAAACUAUGGGUUGAUGUAAGCUUAAAUUGGAAGUUGAGUUGAAAUAAACAAAGAAAUGAAACGUUCACCUACUUUCACAAUAUCUGUGUUUAAGAUGUAGAAAUAGGAUAAAAUGAUUCAAUUAGUUCGUAUUUGCUUGGGCUCAUUCUAAUCGUAUUUGUUUUGUAUAAAUUGGGGCGUACCCGAACCAAUAUGGACUGUUAAGUAGUAUGUUGUUAUAUUGAUUAGAUGUGCACCAUGUGUUUAGCAAUUUAGUUUAACUUAGCCAACGAUGAUGGCAUAACGCAUAAUCUAAUAGGUGUCUAUAUGUACCCUGUUGGAUCUUUGGACUGUUUAAAUUUGUUAUGGCCCGGUUCAGUUUGACUUUAAGAAAUAUGUAUCUC